UCAAAUUUCAAGUUUGAAACAUUCUGCUGCUUUCACAAUUUUCCUGCAGUAAGAAAAAGGGGCUUGUAAUUUUCCAAACUUACACCGUGUAUUUACUAAUGGAAAUUUAAAGGAAUAUGAAUAUAUUCAGUUCAUAAAGCCUUUUAACUCACUGGAUAAUUGAUUUACAAAGUUAAUAGCCAUAGAGCUAUUGUUUCAGACCUUCAAAUGUGGAUGUUUGAGUGAUGCGGUCACAGCAGGGUAAAAGAGGAAUCUAGAUGUACAUGCAAACAAUGAUUUUAAAAAAAUUUCAACUUGAACAAGUUGGCCUAAAUCUAACAACCAGAUAUCAUUCUACACAAUGUGAACAAACAUCCGUACAAGAAAACAACUGAGCUUUAAAAAUAUUUCGUGAUGUCUCCACAACAGUUACAACACAACUCUCAAAAAUAAUUGUGGACUGUUCGUUUUAAAGAUGAUUUAAAAUUAGUACAAUCUCAUCCAAUACAAUGUACAAGUGAACCGCAGUAUUUUCACCACAAACCAAAUCAUGUUUUGCAGAUUGCUUUCAUUAACAUGUCUUUGAUGAAAUAAAACAUCACAUGCUAUCUGUUAAAAUUAAUAUUCAUGGAUGCCUCCUGGCUAUGAAUAUCUGUGGUAAUGAGACAUUGUGCUGAAGACAUAGCAAGCUCACCUUCCAUCCUGGUUUCAAACAACUAAAAUAACCACUCUAUUGAUACAAAAAUAUACAAGGUAUAUUUGUGGAAGGUCACCAUAUAAUACCACAAACUUUAGAUGAAACCUUGAUUAUUUGACACCAUUGUCUACAAAACCAAGAGAGAUACUAAGCACUCGGUGUUCAGAAUUAAUUGCAGUAAGAAUACAUUUCUCAAAUUUUCUGCUGUCAACAACUGAAAAGUUUCAAGUGGAUUUACAAAGCAACGUCACGACAGAGGUAGAAGGUAAAUGGCUCUCAUGAGAUGAACAACUUUGUUUGAAAACUAUCGCAUGAACAAAGUUGUCCAAUUGAGUACAUCAAGGGAAAAAACAACCAAAUAUACUUGAAUAUGGAUAUGAAAGGGCAUAUUCUUUACCCUGAUCCUUAAUACACAAAUUACAGCUGAUAGAGUGGGAAAAUGUGGAGAACUGAAUACUGGUCGUAUCUGCAGGCUUUUAUCAAGAAACACAGUACUGUUAUAGAAUUUUAACAGACCUUUCUCUAAAUAACAACCUGUGCAACAAUCACUGCUUGUGGAGAAUAAAUCAAAAUAACUUGGCCUUGGGAUAUCAAACAAAUUAAAGCAAGGAGAUGACAGUGUGUAGAAACAGAUGCUUCUCAGAGGAGCUGACCGCGUGGAAUUGACUCGAUCCAUCUAAAACUGAUCAUUAAACAAUGACUACCUCUUGAUACCAAGAAGCUAAGAAAACUCAAUUCUGAGGUUAAGGAAAAAAAGGAUAACUAUCAUUGGUAGAGAAAUCUGUUUUGGUUUGCCUCGCCUUGCCUUGGAUUACUGUGCACAAACUCGAUCUUCAGUGUCACCUAGAAACAAUGUUCCCUGUCUUUGUUCAGUAAAGUUAGAUGUUAUAUGUUACUUAUUAACAACAACAGUUGUUUGCCUCACAGGGAAAUUAGCAGCUGAAGCACAAAUGGAUAAUCCUUUGAGGCUUUCGCUAUGGUUUCCUUCAAGGAAUAUUUGUGGAAAUGAAUGUCCCAUGUUCCUUAGACAAGAGUCUUGAGACUUCAAGUCAUAAAAACACUGCUUUGCUCAUACUUCCCAGUAAAUUUAAGAAAACAGAAACAAUACAGCUUAGUUUUCUGAUGUGUUCGAAAUUAUUAUAUUUGUAUCACUUUCUGUUCAGUUAACAUGAAACCAGGGUUUCGAUAACUUUUUUCAUAUGCAACUGCCUAUGGUAUAAUAUACUGCUGUGCCAUAAGGCAAAACCCAAUUACAAAAGCCAACUUGCAAGUAAAGAGACGGCGGAGAGAUCUUGUGGGUGGCGGCAUACCACAGAUAACCAGCUUUUAUUGAAAUCACUGUUGAUACCAUAAACACCAUUUUUUAUGCAUGAUUCUGCUAUGUAGAUACACAAUAUAAAAUGUAGUAAACCUUGAGGAAGCAAUACAUGUUAGCUGGCGAAUUUACCAGAUAAACAAGAGGAAAUAUCAAUUUCUUUCAAUUGUAAAAAUUUUUUAUGUUAUUAUGAUAUAAGUAUGGUUGAUAUCAAGCAAGAUACAUUGUGACAUCUUUAAUUUUAUUUGUCAUGCAGACAAAACUCUUUGCGUGCUGCUUGUGUGAAAACCUGGUGGAGAUUACAAAUCUUCUAAUUUCCCGCCUAUUAAAGGAGGCUUACACAGACAAGCGACUUUGUCUGAAAGAUAUGCAUAUUACUUAACUGUCUGAAAGUGCUGCCAUAAAACUUGAUGAUACUGUUAGGCAAAACCAAGAAGCUUUUCAUGAUGGAAGGGAAUAAUUUUUUCCUCUAUGAUGCAAAAAACACCCCAUGAUUCUGUCACAACAGGAUGUAACACUGUAAAAAUGAGAAUCUAGAUGCAUGUAGACUACUUCAACAAACCCACAUAAAUAAUUUCAAGCACACAGACUCCUGCGGUAAUUAAAACAAAACACUUUAAUAUAACUAAUGGGUCUAUUCAAGGGACUCCUACCAUAAAAAAUGGCAAUUUUUUGGAACACAAUAUUUUUGCAUUAGUACUUAACCAAGAAUGGAUACUUCAAAGCUAGCCAGGGUUCUGUGGAAGAUAUUAUUUGA
This is a non-coding RNA of Pocillopora verrucosa, 2748 nucleotides long. The record is from RefSeq and is a predicted model, not a curated record. NCBI's taxonomy places the organism in Eukaryota, Metazoa, Cnidaria, Anthozoa, Scleractinia, Pocilloporidae.